RNAcentral lists this ribosomal RNA (497 nucleotides) under uncultured bacterium. RNAcentral's name for it is "partial 16S ribosomal RNA". It matches the Rfam family "Bacterial small subunit ribosomal RNA", at positions 28 to 507 of the family's 1533-position model. The record is from RNAcentral.
GAUGAACGCUGGCGGCGUGCCUAAUACAUGCAAGUCGAGCGAACAGACGAGGAGCUUGCUCCUUCGACGUUAGCGGCGGACGGGUGGGUAACACGUAGGUAACCUACCUAUAAGACUGGGAUAACUUCGGGAAACCGGAGCUAAUACCGGAUAAUAUUUCGAACCGCAUGGUUCGAUAGUGAAAGAUGGCUUUGCUAUCACUUAUAGAUGGACCUGCGCCGUAUUAGCUAGUUGGUAAGGUAACGGCUUACCAAGGCAACGAUACGUAGCCGACCUGAGAGGGUGAUCGGCCACACUGGAACGGAGACACGGUCCAGACUCCUACGGGAGGAGGCAGUAGGGAAUCUUCCGCAAUGGGCGAAGGCCUGACGGAGCAACGCCGCGUGAGUGAUGAAGGUCUUCGGAUCGUAAAACUCUGUUAUUAGGGAAGAACAAACGUGUAAGUAACUGUGCACGUCUUGACGGUACCUAAUCAGAAAGCCACGGCUAACUACGUG